Molecule: RNA transcript, 2431 nt
Organism: Gopherus evgoodei (Goodes thornscrub tortoise)
Lineage: Eukaryota; Metazoa; Chordata; Testudines; Testudinidae
Gene: PNPO
Gene name: pyridoxamine 5'-phosphate oxidase
Exons: 9
Source: RefSeq, a predicted model, not a curated record
UGUGAUGGGUUACGCGGCGCGGAGGGGGCUGCGCGUUUGGGCCUGGCUCGGCUCCCGUCCCCCUCGGCGGGUGCUGGCGCCGGCUGCAGCCAUGGACCUGGGGCCGCUGAGGAAAAGCUACCGGGGGGACGAGGAGGCAUUUGAGGAGAAACAUCUUGCCUCCUUUGACCCAAUUAAGCAGUUUGCCAUGUGGUUUGAAGAGGCCAUGCGGUGCCCCUCAAUCGGUGAAGCCAAUGCUAUGUGCCUGGCCACCUGUACCAGGGAUGGGAGGCCCUCUGCCCGCAUGGUGCUCCUGAAGGGGUUUAGCCAGGAUGGCUUUCGAUUCUUCACUAACCACGAGAGCCGGAAAGGAAAGGAGCUGGACUCCAAUCCUUUAGCCUCAGUCGUCUUUUACUGGGAGCCCCUUAAUCGCCAGGUGCGUAUCGAGGGCUCUGUGGAGAGACUUCCAGAGGAGGAAUCGGAGCACUACUUCCACUCCCGGCCCCGAAGCAGCCAGAUCGGGGCUGUCGUGAGUCGCCAGAGCACAGUGAUUCCCGACAGGGAGUAUUUAAGGAAGAAGAACACAGAGCUGGAAGAGCUGUACCGGGAGGGCACUGUGCCAAAGCCUGCAUACUGCUUUUCCAUUGUCGGUUUAGAGCCGCUGUACCUUGUAUGCAGCUGAGUGUAAGCUGGCCUGUCAGGCUGAGGACAGCUAGGAUAGCUACAGUGAAUCUGACGACAGAGGAAAUAGACCAGGAUUUUCUACUCACAGUGACCAAUUACAAAGGCGCAUCAGCACUGCCUGACCUAGAGAUACAGCAGAGCUCUUGAAGACAUUCAGCAAUAUACUGGAGUGAGUCAGAAAAACCUCACAUGGGCGCAGCUGGGCAGCCUCCCCUGGGUCGGUCUGUCCAUUUGUGCAGCCAGGGAAGGAUGGGAAAACCGAGGCACGGAGAGAGAAGCGAUUCGCCCAAGACCACACAGUGAGUCGGUGGUGGAACCAGGAAGGAAUCCCAGACCUGACUCCCAAGCCAGCUGCCCCUUCUAUUCACAGAUCCGGUGACAUAGGAACUGCUGCUGCAGCUCUGAUUAGUGGUCUAUCCAGGCUGAUCUUCUCUGCUGGCCAGUUCUCUGAUGGUGCAGUCCCAGCUGUUCUACACUAUCCCAGAGAGAGAAGCAUCUUCCUGACCCCCAUCUGGCAAACACCUGUAACUGAAGACUGGUGGAUCUGCUUAUUUUUAUCCUAGCUGCUUUCCCUGCAGAUAUGAUUCUUAUCCGUCUGGACGUCCGAUGCUCUUUUGAAGCAUGCUCCACCAUUUGACUCAUUAACAUCCCGCCUAUCUACCCAGCCAUCUAUCCUGCGGCAGCCGGUUCAGUAGGUUAACUGUAUGUUGCAUAAAAUAGCGUUUCUGUUGGGCCAUUUUAUAGGUCAGCCGUUCUCUUUGCUCACUCUACAGCUCCUGGAGGCUACGGCUCAGGUUAUGAUGCAUACAAGAGGCAGGGCAGGGCAGUGGUUUGAGUGGCGAACGGGAAGUCAGGACUCCGGGGUUCUCUGCCCCUGACUUCCUGAGGUGACUUGGCCAGUCAUUUCACCUCUGUGGCCUCAAUCUGAGACCUGCGUGUAAAUCCAAGGAAAAUGGCCUUUCCCAUAGCGCUUGGCACAGCCUUUAGCCCCUAAUACUCUAGCUAGAAGGAGUUUGUGCCUAGCUGUGCAUGCACUGAGAAGGCCCGGGGAUGAUAGUGCUUUGCCUGUCUCUAGUGCUACCCAUAUGAGGAGCUUAAAGCCGUGAAUGAAUUAGGCCUCGCUACUCCCCAGGAGACAGGGACUUACCAUUCUCCCUGUUUUGCAGAAGGGGAAACUGAGGCAUAGAGCAGGGACCUGGACUGCCUGAGAUCACGCAGCGAAUCAGUGGCAGAACCGUAACGGGAAUCCAGGAGUCUUGCUCUAGCUAUUCGUGGCUCUGUUUCCCAAGUUUUGCACAGGAUGGAAGGGCAGGCUCCCCUAGGGUUAUACUGAUUCUCUGAUGACCUUUGAAGGCUUCUCUGAGUGCUGCCUUCUAACCCUUCCCCAAUGGGGCAGGAGUGGACAAGGAAGACAGAGUCCUGCGUCUGGGGCUCUGGAACAGAUGAGGCUGGAACCAGAGCAAGCCAGGAAACGUUCACAUCCAGGGAAUAAACAAAGGAACCAAGAUGGCGGAGCCAGUCCGACCAGGGUAGGGCGGGUGUGGCCUUUGGGUUGCUCAACCAGACCGCACUCCUCUUUGGCACAGCUGAAGUCACGGAGGGUGGGUUUGCCAGGACUCCCUGGUUCACGAUGAGGCUGAUCUGUUCCUGGUAAAUCUUUGCUGGGAUCCUUUGUGUUUCCAGGAAGCAAGUGGAGUUCAGCCAAGGAAUCUCAGGCGAUUCCUUAGCCGGAGGCAAUGGAUGCUGCUCCUGAUGCCUGGGGGUGCAG